CCUACGGGAGGCAGCAGUGAGGAAUAUUGGUCAAUGGACGGAAGUCUGAACCAGCCAUGCCGCGUGCAGGAAGACGGCUCUAUGAGUUGUAAACUGCUUUUGUACAAGGGUAAACCUGAAUACGUGUAUUCAGCUGAAAGUACUGUACGAAUAAGGAUCGGCUAACUCCGUGCCAGCAGCCGCGGUAAUACGGAGGAUCCAAGCGUUAACCGGAUUUAUUGGGUUUAAAGGGUGAGUAGGCGGAUUGAUAAGUUAGAGGUGAAAUGUCCGGGCUUAACUCGGGAACUGCCUCUAAUACUGGUGAUCUAGAGAGUAGAUGCGGUAGGCGGAAUGUAUGGUGUAGCGGUGAAAGGCUUAGAGAUCAUACAGAACACCGAUUGCGAAGGCAGCUUACCAAUCUAUAUCUGACGUUGAGGCACGAAAGCGUGGGGAGCAAACAGGAUUAGAUACCCGGGUAGUC
This 460-nucleotide ribosomal RNA is filed under the name uncultured bacterium. RNAcentral's name for it is "partial 16S ribosomal RNA". It matches the Rfam family "Bacterial small subunit ribosomal RNA", at positions 338 to 795 of the family's 1533-position model. The record is from RNAcentral.